This 371-nucleotide ribosomal RNA is filed under the name uncultured bacterium. Its description in RNAcentral is "bacterial SSU rRNA". It matches the Rfam family "Bacterial small subunit ribosomal RNA", at positions 29 to 429 of the family's 1533-position model. The record is from RNAcentral.
AACGAACGCUGGCGGCAGGCCUAACACAUGCAAGUCGAACGCCCCGCAAGGGGGAGUGGCAGACGGGUGAGUAACGCGUGGGAACGUACCCUUCGGUUCGGGAUAACUCAGGGAAACUUGAGCUAAUACCUGAUACGUCCGAGAGGAGAAAGAUUUAUCGCCGAGGGAUCGGCCCGCGUCUGAUUAGCUUGUUGGUGAGGUAACGGCUCACCAAGGCGACGAUCAGUAGCUGGUCUGAGAGGAUGAUCAGCCACAUUGGACUGAGACACGGCCCAAACUCCUACGGGAGGCAGCAGUGGGGAAUAUUGGACAAUGGGCGCAAGCCUGAUCCAGCCGUGCCGCGUGAGUGAUGAAGGCCCUAGGGUUGUAAA